GAUGAACGCUGGCGGCGUGCCUAAUACAUGCAAGUCGAGCGAACGGACGAGAAGCUUGCUUCUCUGAUGUUAGCGGCGGACGGGUGAGUAACACGUGGAUAACCUACCUAUAAGACUGGGAUAACUUCGGGAAACCGGAGCUAAUACCGGAUGAUAUUUUGAACCGCAUGGUUCAAAAGUGAAAGACGGUCUUGCUGUCACUUAUAGAUGGAUCCGCGCUGCAUUAGCUAGUUGGUAAGGUAACGGCUCACCAAGGCAACGAUGCAUGGCCGACCUGAGAGGGUGAUCGGCCACACUGGAACUGAGACACGGUCCAGACUCCUACGGGAGGCAGCAGUAGGGAAUCUUCCGCAAUGGGCGAAAGCCUGACGGAGCAACGCCGCGUGAGUGAUGAAGGUCUUCGGAUCGUAAAACUCUGUUAUUAGGGAAGAACAUAUGUGUAAGUAACUGUGCACAUCUUGACGGUACCUAAUCAGAAAGCCACGGCUAACUACGUG
This 497-nucleotide ribosomal RNA is filed under the name uncultured bacterium. RNAcentral's name for it is "partial 16S ribosomal RNA". It matches the Rfam family "Bacterial small subunit ribosomal RNA", at positions 28 to 507 of the family's 1533-position model. The record is from RNAcentral.